CAAAUUUGAAAGCUGGCUCCUUCGGGGUCCGCAUUGUAAUUUGCAGAGGAUGCUUCGGGAGCGGUCCCCAUCUAAGUUCCCUGGAACGGGACGUCAUAGAGGGUGAAAAUCCCGUAUGGGAUGGGGUGUCCGCGCCCGUGUGAAGCUCCUUCGACGAGUCGAGUUGUUUGGGAAUGCAGCUCUAAAUGGGUGGUAAAUUUCAUCUAAAGCUAAAUAUUGGCCGGAGACCGAUAGCGCACAAGUAGAGUGAUCGAAAGAUGAAAAGCACUUUGAAAAGAGAGUUAAAAAGCACGUGAAAUUGUUGAAAGGGAAGCGCUUGCGACCAGACUCGCUCGCGGGGUUCA
This 344-nucleotide ribosomal RNA is filed under the name Penicillium jensenii. RNAcentral describes it as "partial large subunit ribosomal RNA". It matches the Rfam family "Eukaryotic large subunit ribosomal RNA", at positions 110 to 450 of the family's 3401-position model. Lineage: Eukaryota; Fungi; Ascomycota; Eurotiomycetes; Eurotiales; Aspergillaceae. The record is from RNAcentral.